This 120-nucleotide ribosomal RNA is filed under the name Varanus acanthurus. RNAcentral's name for it is "partial 16S ribosomal RNA". The record is from RNAcentral. Lineage: Eukaryota; Metazoa; Chordata; Lepidosauria; Squamata; Varanidae.
UAUGCACUACUCUUUUUAGUACGAAAGGACCAAAAGAGUAAAACCUAUGCUCUAAGCAAGUUUUCACCAUCCCAUGAAGCAAUAUCAAAUUAACAGUACCAAACCACCCAAGAACAGGAC